GAUUUUUAUUAAACUCAUCCAAGAAAUGAUCCUAAUCCAGCUGAGUCUGAUCGGAGCAGUUAACUGGAGCUGCUUCAGUCUAAAAUAGAAAAGGACCUAAAUACCCCUAUCAAAUUUAGAGAAUUACACCAAAACCUAAACCUUCUUCUCCUUCUUCUCCUCAUCCUCGACACAUAACAUUCCUUUGGCCAUCUCUGUAGAGAAGAGAAACGAGAUCUCUUCUUCGCCGGAUCUCUUCGUCGCAUGAUCUCCUCCGCCGGAUCUCUCACUGGAAUCCACUCCUCUUUGAUCUUCUCACCCCACUCCACUCCUCUUUGAUCUCUUCGCCGGAUCUCUUCUUCUCUCUCUCGUGCGUGGGUUUAAGGUGUUACAGAUUGAAUUAGCUGCGACCACUGUUUGAGAGGUGUUACCGAUUGAAAUCGCUGCAACCACUGUUUGAGAGAUUCAUGUUUUGGAGCUAGAGAUUUUUAAUGGAUGAACAGAGAGUUAAUUAGUUCUACAUUUGCUUAUAUAGAUGCUAUCUUUUUGGUAAUAAAUGUCAAAUAUAAUAAUUUGAAAUUUGUUUGGUUGUAAAUAUAUAUAUUUGAUCAAUAAUUAAAAUUAAUAUGGUUAAGAUUAAGACUUAAAAUAUAAUUAGAUGAAAACAUGGGCAUUUUAGUCAUUUUUCUAAUCAAAAGCAUCUAGAUGAGAAUGGUUUUCAACCAAACAAACAAAGUUUUAACCAAAAGCAGUUAGAUGGAUCAUCCAGAUGAACCACCAAAAAUGAAAACGAAAAUCAUUCAGAUGGAUUAGCCAGAUAGAUCAUUUGGAUGGAGCAUUUGGAUGCAUAUCCCAAAUGAGCAAACGAACAACACCAUCCAUGAAAUAUUACUAGAUUCGUAUCUGUUUUACUUUAUUUAUGUUAGCUAUAGCAUCGGGAUGGUCUUUUGUUUUGCUGCGAUCUCGUUUGAGUUUUCUCUCAUCGUGACCGACGUCGUCUUCGUCUUCUCUUGUAUAUAAAUGAAUACCCAAAGACCUCAUCUUCUUCACAAUUCAGAUUCCAAAUUUCUCAAACAAUCUAAAAUCAUUCUCUCAAAUCUCUCAACCGUGAUCAAGGUAGAUUUCUGGGUUCCUUUUCAGUUUCUUCGUAUUGUUUCGUUCGAUCGUGAUUGUUUCGUUCGAUCGUGAUUGUUUCGUUCGAUCGUGAUUGAGUUUCUGUUCUUUGAAUUUCAUUCGGUUAAUCUUUGAUCGGAGACAAAGUUCUGAGUUUCUUCGUUAGAUCUCAUCUUAAUUCUUGAUUAGGGUUCGUUGUUUUCGUUGAUCUGUGUUUUUACGCGUUGAUUCUUUGAAUUUGAUCUGAUUUGUUCUAAGAAUCUGAGUUUUAUCUCUUAGAUCUAUCCAAAUCUGGUUUUGUGCGAUCGAAUUUGUCAACUAAUUUCGGUUUUUCUGGAGCUCAUUACAAAAAACAACACUUUAUGUGUCAAGAUAUAUUGUCAUUAAGCUCUAAUUUUAUGAAGAACAACACUUUAUAGGUCAAAGCUAAUAAUAAAUUGAAAAGAAAAAAAAAAUAGUUAGUUUUGGGCCAAAGCCCAUUACAAACCAGCACAAAUAAUCCGAAACAGUAGUUUGCCGUUAAUAAAAACAGAGUGGAAGAGCAAAGGACAGAGGAGACAAAUCACGCCAUAGAUCGGAGCAAGAUUCUUGGAUCUGCCUCUUAAGACCAAUCGGUGCUUUCGCGUGUCCUCAG
Long non-coding RNA from Arabidopsis lyrata subsp. lyrata, 1726 nucleotides. RefSeq lists it as uncharacterized. The record is from RefSeq and is a predicted model, not a curated record. Lineage: Eukaryota; Viridiplantae; Streptophyta; Magnoliopsida; Brassicales; Brassicaceae. The transcript has 3 exons.